Molecule: small nucleolar RNA, 93 nt
Filed under: Dicentrarchus labrax (European seabass)
Lineage: Eukaryota; Metazoa; Chordata; Actinopteri; Moronidae
Description: Small nucleolar RNA SNORD14 (ENSDLAG00005004217.2)
Rfam family: Small nucleolar RNA SNORD14
About the family: U14 small nucleolar RNA (U14 snoRNA) is required for early cleavages of eukaryotic precursor rRNAs. In yeasts, this molecule possess a stem-loop region (known as the Y-domain) which is essential for function. A similar structure, but with a different consensus sequence, is found in plants, but is absent in vertebrates.
Source: Rfam by way of RNAcentral
UCACUGUGAUGAUGCUUUUCCUGCCAUUCGUAGUUUCCACCAGAGGUCGCGAGACCAAAGAUGGCCCAAAUCCUUCCUUGGAUGUCUGAGUGA